RNAcentral lists this ribosomal RNA (397 nucleotides) under uncultured bacterium. Its description in RNAcentral is "partial 16S ribosomal RNA". It matches the Rfam family "Bacterial small subunit ribosomal RNA", at positions 523 to 918 of the family's 1533-position model. The record is from RNAcentral.
AUACGUAGGGGGCAAGCGUUAUCCGGAUUUACUGGGUGUAAAGGGAGCGUAGACGGAAUGGCAAGUCUGAUGUGAAAGGCCGGGGCUCAACCCCGGGACUGCAUUGGAAACUGUCAGGCUAGAGUGCAGGAGGGGUAAGCGGAAUUCCUAGUGUAGCGGUGAAAUGCGUAGAUAUUAAGAGGAACACCGGUGGCGAAGGCGGCAUACUGGAGGUUAACGGACAUUGAGUGUCGCAAGCAAGGGUGGCGAUCAGAAUUGGAUACCUUGGUAGUCCACGCCUUAAACGAUGAAUACUAGGUGUUGGGUACCAAUAGGGAUUCGGUGGCGCAGCUAACGCAAUAAGUAUUCCACCUGGGGAGUGCGUUCGCAAGAAUGAAACUCAAAGGAAUUGACGGGG